CAACUGCUGCUUGUCUUUAUCUAUAUGUCUCUGGUUACGUGCAUCACGUGUUUUUCAAAAACUCGGGAAUAUUAAAAAUCCGUAUUAAUCGAUGCGAAAAAUAUAAAAACCGUGCUUGUGCCUCAGUGUUAUGAUGUGUCUUCAAGACGGAAAUUACGGUAUAAUUAUGGCUAAAAACCCCGCAAACAUGGAAAGGUGAUACCGCUGUUCUGGACUUGAAGCAUUGAAGACGCUAGGGAUCACGUGAGAAAACCACACACGAAAAAUGUUCGCAUAAGAGACAAGUAAGGUUGUCUGAACCUAAUUAUUCGUCUAUUAAUGUAAAACUAUUAUCUGUAUUUUUUUAUUUUUACCA
Molecule: long non-coding RNA, 355 nt
Organism: Dendroctonus ponderosae (mountain pine beetle)
Lineage: Eukaryota; Metazoa; Arthropoda; Insecta; Coleoptera; Curculionidae
Exons: 2
Source: RefSeq, a predicted model, not a curated record